GAUGAACGCUGGCGGCGUGCCUAAUACAUGCAAGUCGAGCGAACAGAUAAGGAGCUUGCUCCUUUGACGUUAGCGGCGGACGGGUGAGUAACACGCGGGUAACCUACCUAUAAGACUGGGAUAACUUCGGGAAACCGGAGCUAAUACCGGAUAACAUUUGGAACCGCAUGGUUCUAAAGUGAAAGAUGGUUUUGCUAUCACUUAUAGAUGGACCCGCGCCGUAUUAGCUAGUUGGUAAGGUAACGGCUUACCAAGGCGACGAUACGUAGCCGACCUGAGAGGGUGAUCGGCCACACUGGAACUGAGACACGGUCCAGACUCCUACGGGAGGCAGCAGUAGGGAAUCUUCCGCAAUAGGCGAAAGCCUGACGGAGCAACGCCGCGUGAGUGAUGAAGGGUUUCGGCUCGUAAAACUCUGUUAUUAGGGAAGAACAAAUGUGUAAGUAACUGUGCACGUCUUGACGGUACCUAAUCAGAAAGCCACGGCUAACUACGUG
RNAcentral lists this ribosomal RNA (497 nucleotides) under uncultured bacterium. RNAcentral describes it as "partial 16S ribosomal RNA". It matches the Rfam family "Bacterial small subunit ribosomal RNA", at positions 28 to 507 of the family's 1533-position model. The record is from RNAcentral.